UACAGAGGUGGCAAGCGUUGUUCGGAAUUACUGGGCGUAAAGGGCGAGUAGGCGGCCUUCUAAGUCAGACGUGAAAUCCCCCGGCUUAACCUGGGAACUGCGUCUGAUACUGGGAGGCUAGAGUAUGGGAGAGGGAUGUAGAAUUCCAGGUGUAGCGGUGAAAUGCGUAGAUAUCUGGAGGAACACCGGUGGCGAAGGCGGCAUCCUGGACCGACACUGACACUGAGGAGCGAAAGCCAGGGGAGCAAACGGG
This 253-nucleotide ribosomal RNA is filed under the name uncultured bacterium. RNAcentral describes it as "partial 16S ribosomal RNA". It matches the Rfam family "Bacterial small subunit ribosomal RNA", at positions 524 to 776 of the family's 1533-position model. The record is from RNAcentral.